This 1439-nucleotide long non-coding RNA is filed under the name Sinocyclocheilus anshuiensis. RNAcentral describes it as "lncRNA (ENSSANG00000001869.1)". The record is from RNAcentral. Lineage: Eukaryota; Metazoa; Chordata; Actinopteri; Cypriniformes; Cyprinidae.
CAAAUAUUUUCUGCUUCAGUCAGUGAAACUCUUCAGACCCUGCAGACCCUCACAAAGGGCCUACAACAGCAUAUUAAUGAUCUAAAUCCAUUGGUGAGACUGUAUUGUGUUUUAUAAAGGGGUUAUAUUCAAAUAUUUUCUGCUUCAGUCCUACAGUGAGUGAAACUCUUCAGACCCUGCAGACCCUCACAAAGGGCCUACAACAGCAUAUUAAUGAUCUAAGAGAUGAGCUCAGCUCACAGAGAUGUGCUGCACUGCAACUCAGCCGAGAAAAGGUACAGAGUUACAAACAAAAUACACAUAAUCACAGCAAAACAGCGCUAAUUAGCAUUAGCUGCCUAUGUGUUUCAGGAACAAGAGCUUCAUCUGCAGAAACAGCAGUUGAUGGAUGAAAAGGAAAGAGCACUGGCUGCUCUAAAAGAGAAACUCAUACGGGUGUACAGACAUUUGCACCUACAAUAUGUAUCAUUUAUUAUAAAUUGUUACACAACUAACACUAUGAACAAAAUUCCUUUAUAUGUAUUAAUAUCUUGGUUUAUGUCUCUGUUUUGUUCACUGCUGUGUAUAAACCUAAGGAGCACAUUGAGGAAAUGAGCAGCAUAUCUCGAGCACAGCUGCGCAUGAACCAUGAUGACACAGACGAGCUGUGUGUCCAUCUGCGCAGGCAGCUGCAGGCCAAGGAUGAUGAGCUCAGACAGUUGCAGAACAGCAUGACACAGUGGAAAGACAAAACCACUGCAAGACUUGCACACAAAUUUGAGCUGGAGCUUAAAGCAGAGAUGGAGAGGAGGGUCCCAGAGGCCAGAGCAGAGCAGCAGAAGAGAUUGGAAAGACUGGAGAAUGAAAUGAGACAUCUGACUGGGCAAUGCCAAGACUACAACGAAUACCAGUCGGCCUCCACUGCUCUUCAGGGUGGCACAGACUUCCAAAACUCUCGAGUCACCCAAGACCCGACCUCAUAUAAACUGCUACAGCACCUUCAGAGUCGCAUUCGUCAGCUUCGAGCAGAGAGCCAAAGCCGCUGCCCCAGCCCCAGCCCAGUGAAGUGGGACAGGGAUCCCACAGACCUGGGUGGGUCUUAUUUGGACACGAUUGCUCCAGCCCAGGACAGCUAUAGGACAGAGGAUCACUUACCAGCAAAGACCGUCUCCAGUUAACAUUUACUUUCAACUCUCUUGAAUUUGUCCAUUAAAUUGUUGAUUUUAUAGGAAAACCAUGUACAAGAAAAUAACUUCUUAAUUCCACCUCUGUGGAGCUCGUGAUGAGCAAUGUUCAUGUUCUGGACAGACAGAAAUUAGCACUUCAUUGCAGGUGAAUGUUUCAUUUAGGCCUGUUAAAGACCAAUGGAUGAACUUUGAUCUACACCCACACACACACACACACACACAUAUAUAUAAAUUGUGUUUGAAUUUACUGUGAAAUAAUGAACAGAUCUAGUG